Molecule: ribosomal RNA, 405 nt
Filed under: Limosilactobacillus reuteri
Lineage: Bacteria; Bacillati; Bacillota; Bacilli; Lactobacillales; Lactobacillaceae
Description: bacterial SSU rRNA
Rfam family: Bacterial small subunit ribosomal RNA
Source: RNAcentral
UUUAUAUGAGAGUUUGAUCCUGGCUCAGGAUGAACGCCGGCGGUGUGCCUAAUACAUGCAAGUCGUACGCACUGGCCCAACUGAUUGAUGGUGCUUGCACCUGAUUGACGAUGGAUCACCAGUGAGUGGCGGACGGGUGAGUAACACGUAGGUAACCUGCCCCGGAGCGGGGGAUAACAUUUGGAAACAGAUGCUAAUACCGCAUAACAACAAAAGCCACAUGGCUUUUGUUUGAAAGAUGGCUUUGGCUAUCACUCUGGGAUGGACCUGCGGUGCAUUAGCUAGUUGGUAAGGUAACGGCUUACCAAGGCGAUGAUGCAUAGCCGAGUUGAGAGACUGAUCGGCCACAAUGGAACUGAGACACGGUCCAUACUCCUACGGGAGGCAGCAGUAGGGAAUCUUCCA